Long non-coding RNA from Canis lupus familiaris (dog), 866 nucleotides. RefSeq lists it as uncharacterized. The record is from RefSeq and is a predicted model, not a curated record. Lineage: Eukaryota; Metazoa; Chordata; Mammalia; Carnivora; Canidae. The transcript has 4 exons.
UCGACAUGUCCCCAACAUCCCUCCUAGCAGCUUGGUCCUGCAUAAUUAUUUUUUCUGAAUUUACUCUGACCAGAGCAGGAGUUCCAACAGUAACUGGUAAACUCCAGAGUCUUAAAUGGCUUUAUCCUAUCAGCAAAUGCCUGCACUUGAAACUGAAAAUCUAAUGAAAAUCAGCAACCUCCCUAUACCCAUAACUAAAUAUGGUGGUGAUGUUGUCUGUCCUCUCUACCAGCUGUGAAAACAUCAGUGAACAACUUUCUUUGAAUUUCUGCUGUUUCAACUAUGAAGAUUAAUAGCACUCAUAAAGGAUACAGUUAUAACACCUCAGAAGGUCAAGGACUAUGUCUGUUUACCUUGCCUGGAUGCUUUGAAAUGUGUACUUAUGAACAUAACUCUGCUUGUGAGCUUGUACUCAUUACCCUAGUAAUUAGGAAGAUCUUGUUUGAUCUUGGAAUUCAGUAUUGAAGCUGGAAGACUGCUCCAACAGGAAUCAACAAUUAAGGUAGUAAUAAGAAAAUCGAUAUCACUUUCCUGCUUAGACAUUUUUCCAAGGCUGCACUACACCCAACUAAUCAGUAGUUUAUAUUAGAAAUAUUUUUAAAAUAGCAUUAUCACAUUUCUCUUAACAUACAGAAUAAAUCUCAGCUUAGUAAAAGGUCAUCCAUCAUCAAUUAGGUUAUAGGUAGAGUUCUCCACCCAAGUCCUUUUCUUCAUCUGCAAACCACACAGGUUCCUGCGCAUGGGAAAAAGUUGGCAAGGUGGAUUUCAGAAAGUUUCUUCCCGCCCUUUAAUUCUCAAAGAGUCUCCUCCAUAUACUAGAAUUCUAGUCAAAAAUUCCAUGCAAUGCAAUCAGCUGAGUCUCAGUU